RNAcentral lists this ribosomal RNA (252 nucleotides) under uncultured bacterium. RNAcentral's name for it is "partial 16S ribosomal RNA". It matches the Rfam family "Bacterial small subunit ribosomal RNA", at positions 525 to 776 of the family's 1533-position model. The record is from RNAcentral.
ACGUAGGGUGCAAGCGUUAUUCGGAAUAACUGGGCGUAAAGGGUGUGCAGACGGUUUUUUAAGUCUAUUGUUUAAGCCCCCAGCCUAACUGGGGAUCAGCAGCAGAAACUGAAAGACUUGAGUAUGGAAGAGAGAAGUGGAAUUCUCGGAGUAGCGGUAAAAUGCGUAGAUCUCGAGAGGAACACCGAUGGCGAAGGCAGCUUCUUGGUCCAUUACUGACGUUGAGACACGAAAGCGUGGGGAGCAAACAGG